Molecule: long non-coding RNA, 764 nt
Filed under: Marmota monax (woodchuck)
Lineage: Eukaryota; Metazoa; Chordata; Mammalia; Rodentia; Sciuridae
Source: RNAcentral
UCUCCAAGAAGGAAUAGAGAGAAUAAGUAGAUUUGAAUUUCCAUGCCAAGAAGCAGUGGUUUGUUGAAGAAGAUCUGUUUUGCCAUUAUUUAUGAUACAUAGAGAAUCCAACACACUUUUGAAGCGAGACAGUUUGAGGUUUAAUUGUCUCCUCCAUCACUUACCAUCUGAGUAACAAAUCAGUAUUGAACCUCUCUGAGCUGAAGAUUCCUCAUUUGCAAAAUGGAGAUCAUCCCUACCUCGCAUGUUGCAAAAAAGAAAUCAGAUCAAUUCUAGGAAGGGUCUGAGACAAGGCACAGCCCUUGAUAGGUGCUCAAGAAAUGUUGACUUUCUUCCCCUCACUUCUAAUCAAAUUUAAAUUCUUGGCUGCCAAUUAAAAAUUUCAGAAAGUGCCCUUUAACCUUUUGAAAAGCCCCAAGCCAAUCCAAACCAGACAAAACAAAAAGCAAAUUACCAAAAGCAAUGUUCAACAGAGGUUCCCCACAAACCAAUGGCUCUUCCUGCUUUAUGCUUAUGCCAGAUAUUUUAUUACACAUAUAUUUCUUUUUUAUACCUUCCUGACACCCCUUCCACCACUACCACCAGUUUUGCUCUCUUUGUUGAUUCCUCUUAAAUCCUUAAGUGGGACCAUGAUGCUGUUAUUUGAGUCAUCCCUCAGUGGGCUCCUGUGACAUAAAAAAGGCUAAAUUAAAUGUCAGAAGUGACACUCUACUUUCUUUGAUAAACUAUAGAAAUAAACACUUCUUUAUUUAUUUUUUUCUUCC